UACGUAGGGUGCGAGCGUUAAUCGGAAUUACUGGGCGUAAAGCGUGCGCAGGCGGUUUUGUAAGACAGAGGUGAAAUCCCCGGGCUCAACCUGGGAACUGCCUUUGUGACUGCAAAGCUGGAGUGCGGCAGAGGGGGAUGGAAUUCCGCGUGUAGCAGUGAAAUGCGUAGAUAUGCGGAGGAACACCGAUGGCGAAGGCAAUCCCCUGGGCCUGCACUGACGCUCAUGCACGAAAGCGUGGGGAGCAAACAGGAAUUAGAU
This 261-nucleotide ribosomal RNA is filed under the name uncultured Comamonadaceae bacterium. Its description in RNAcentral is "partial 16S ribosomal RNA". It matches the Rfam family "Bacterial small subunit ribosomal RNA", at positions 524 to 783 of the family's 1533-position model. Lineage: Bacteria; Pseudomonadati; Pseudomonadota; Betaproteobacteria; Burkholderiales; Comamonadaceae. The record is from RNAcentral.